AUCUACUAAGUUAUGCUGGUAUAUUAAAAGUAGAGUUUUGUUAAACUAUAAAGUAACAUAAAUUUAAAAGAGUUUUUGAAAUGUUUUGAUCACUUAUAAAAGACAUAAGCAAUCUUUCGAAAGAAGUUGAUAACAAACAUUUACACAACUAUCAUUGUUUUCAACUUGUAUCCCCCCCCCCCUUAAAAGCAUUUAAAACAGUUAAAAGAUUCAUUAUAGGGGUAUGAGCUCACCUUAUGUGGGUGAGUCAAACGAAUAUGUGCGUAAGGAUGAGAAGUUCCACAAAUGAAGUCCCGAAACAAAAACGAGUCCUAACUGACAUAUAUGGAAAGUAUUUUCAUGAAUAUAGUGUUUAUAAGCAACCGACAUGCAAGGAUACAUCCUUAGGGACAUGUACUAAGUGUUGAAAUUACAUGUGAUUGAUCAAAGGGAUAUUUAAGGCCACCAAAUGGAGUUUACGACCAUGGGUUUACAGCCAUGAAUUUUACGUCCGUAAACUCAUGGUAAAAGGUGCAUAAGAGGGUGUUUGAAUGCUAGGGAAACUUGUGGGACCAUUGCUCUAUAAUACGAUGAGCAACACUAACUUAUUGUGAGGUGUUGAGGUGUUUAUGGCCACACCAAAAUUGUAUGGCUAUAAAAUCUCCAAAUGGUGUCGUUUUGGGUCCUAGAGGAAAGGGUUCUCAAUGGUUCAUGUGCUCCAAAGGAUAGAUAGUGUCUAGAAGUGUUUAGGGCUCAAUACUUGACCCAAAGGAUAGAUAGUGUCUAGAAGUGUUUAGGGCUCAAUACUUGACCCAAAGGAUAGAUAGUGUCUAGAAGUGUUUAGGGCUCAAUACUUGACCCAAACUAAGGUUUACGGCCAAGGGAGAUUGCUCAUGGUCGUAAACUCUCAUUGAUCUUGGAGAUUGGUUGAUUUCAAGGAUGUAAAUCAUGGACUUCUACUAGAUAAUAAGUGUAUGUAAGGAAUACUCACUUUUUGAGGGCCUUUAAGUAGUUUACAGCCACCAAAAGCUAGUGUGUGUUCUUGGUGUUCUUGGUGAAAGAUGAAGAUCUAGCCAAAAGAUGUUUUCAUGGAUGGAAUCAAAGGGUGAUUCAUGAGUAAGAAGGGUAAUAAAAAAUUAAAGGGAAGAAUCACUUACAUUUGGAUGAUCCGGAAUGAAAAUCUCGAUGAUACUUGAGUGAGAAGUCAAGUGUUUUUGAGUUGGAAAUGUAAGAAUGAAAGGAAGAUGAAGGCAAUGAGGCUUUAAGGGGAGUUUACAGCCAUCCUUGAGUUUACGGCCGUAAACUCAAGUGUCUUGGCUGUGAAAUCCUUUUUAGUGGUUUUAAGGCUCGGAUGUGGCACAAUGUCUCUAGCAGGUACUUCCUAUCACCCGUUAUCGCGUUAUAAUAUCAUAGAAUACUCCUAUAGUAUUCUAACUCUAUGUACUUGAUCUAGAAUUCUCUUGACUGGUGUUAGGUAAGUUUUAAGACCAUUGCCACACCACAUCACUCCCAAACACAUGUCUGUCACAUCUCGAAUGAAUAUAGUUGAUCAGACUAUAUUGAUCCUAGCUAUGAUUACAUAACUGUCAAGGUUUGACCACAAUGUUCAACCUUUAACUUCUUCUGUUUUGUUCUUCUAGGGAUACUUGUUCUAGUAUGAAUACAUGUAUAAGCAAGUAGGUAUAUUUUUAUAACUUAUUGUUAUGUUCUUAAAAUAUAUUAUUAUAUAGAGCACUAAAGUACCAUUUUAUUUAUAGUUGUAUAUCUUUUAUCGGUUGAUAUACUUAGUUCACUAUAAACAAUGCUCUGAUACCAAUCUAUCACACCCCAAAACCGGAACGACGGAAACGAUCUGGGGUGGAGGGCGUCAUGUUUAGUAUCACAAGACAUGCAUCAUAGUAAUAAAAGUAAUAAACAACCAUUUCAUUAAAAAGAAAGUGUUUACAAAGUAUGUGUUCACAAAACAUAGAAUACAUAUGCAAAUAGCAAAAUAAGACAUGAAGCUAUACUGCUCCAUCUUCUGAAUUCCCAACGCGAGUACCUGUCCACUAGAUCCCUGAGAAUACAAGUUAUUUUGAAAGAGUUGAUCAGCAUUUAAGCUGGUGAGUUCAUAAGAUUUUAGUGAUGUAAGUAAGUGUAAGAAAGNGAAAGAUGUAGUAAGUUGUAAGUUUUGUUUAGAAAAGUUCGCCUGUUCCUCCAAAAAAAUCCUAUAUUUCCUGCUUUGACGAAAGAUAAGUAAAAAUGACUCUACAAUCCUUUUAUGAGUACAAAGUAGAUACGAGUUGUAUAAACACCCAUAGUAAACAAACAAUCGGUUGUGUGUAUCUGCCCUAAGCCCACAACCAAUGAAGGACCGGGAAAUGAGACGGAAAGCACACAUCUCAUUUUUUGUUAGAUCAUUGUUGUAUAUAUAACCCUAGCAUAUUCACUUGGAACUCACGGAGUUAACUAUAAUAGUUCAUUUAUAUUUGAUGAAAAGAUUCUUUAAGAAAACCCUUAUUUCUUAUAAAAAAAAAUAGUAACCACAGUUGUUCUUUCUAUAAUCACUUAGUUUAUACUAGCUAUAUAUAAUCUAAUAUCGAACAGAUAGUUAAUUGUGUGGAUCUGCCCUAAGCCAACAACCAACCAAGGACCAGGAAAUGAAGCGAAAAGCACACAUGCAACUACCUAUUGGGUAUUAAUUAUAUAUAACCAUGAUGUAUAAACUAAGGUAUUAUUGAAUUAACCACCUAAGGUCCCUUAAGUUAUUAUGGUUUAAUAAAAUGGAUUAAACCCUUUACUGGUAAGUUUCUAGUGUUGUAUAUCAAAAGUUCUAUUUAAAAAGUAUGUUUUGUACUAGAAAACUCUUCAUUGAAUUAGUAUUCUAUGACCUGGCCCAUACCUGGUACCCCUUAUGAUUACUUAGUGUAUACAGAACAUAUAUAUAUAUAUAUAAACUAUGAUACGUAUAGUUUAGGGAACACUUACACUAUUUUACUGAGUUAGGGAUACAAUACAUAAACUAGUUAAUAUAGGGUUGUGAGCCACUACUUCACUAUACCUUCUAGAGUAUGCGUUGAAGCCCUGAAUUAUUGNAUAUAUAUAUAUCCCUGAAUGCAUACACUAAGGAAUCUAAAGUUAGCGUUAUAGGCCCCCUUUCUAUUGAAUGUACUAGACUCGACUGUUAUGUUUGUCGUUUGUAAAAUGUAAGUUUUCCCUUGUUUAUAACUAUCCUAACUCGAAAAUAGUUUGUAUUAACUUUAAAGUGUAGCUGUCACAAUAUGAAAAUAAGUACAGAGUUGUCUUUUAAAAUGACAUCCUGACGUACUGAUUUCCUUAAAACAUGUUUGUUUUAUUAAGGUCAUAAUGUGAAGCCUAGUACACAUACUAUACGCUCUCCUUAUCAAAAGAUUUGGGAACCAAACGCGACUACAACAAAUAAUUGCUAGGCCGUGUAAAUUCACAUUAAGGUUAUGCAAUCCUGUAUACCCAAUUUAACUAUCACCUUUUUUUUAGAACAAUGAGUUAAUGAUUUAUUGGUAUAGUUAGAUCCUGUAAUUGUUUUCAUGCUAUUGCAUCUUAGUAUGUUCCUUCUGUUAUAGUAUCUCAGUAUGUUCCUCCUGUUAUAGUAUCUAGGUAUGAACUGAACCCCUAAACUAUACCCCUUAUAGUUUACAAGUAUUUUACCUUGAACUGUUAUUGAAAAGACUCAUUUAUCUACUAAGUUAUGCUGGUAUUUUAUAAGCAGAGUUUUGUUAAAAUAUAAAGUAACAUAACUUUAAAAGAGUUUUUGAAAUGUUUUGAUCACUUAUAAAAGACAUAAGCAAUCUUUUGAAAGAUGUUGAUAACAAACAUUUACACAACUAUCAUAUCAUUGUGUUCAACUUGUAUCCCCCUCCCCUUAAAAGCAUUUAGAACAGUUAAAAGAUUCAUUAUAGGGGUAUGAGCUCACCUUAUGUGGGUGAGUCCAACGAAUAUGCGUGUAAGGAUGAGAAGUUCCACAAAUGAAGUCCCGAAACACAAACGAGUCCAAAAUGACAUAUAGGGAAAGUAUCUGCAUGAAUAUAGUGUUUAUAAGCAACCAACAUGCAAGGAAACACCCUUAGGGACUUGUAGUAAGUGUUGAAAUCACAUGUGAUUGAUCAAAGGGAUGUUUAACGCCACCAAAUGGAGUUUAUGACCAUGGGUUUAUGUCCAUGAAUUUUAUGGUCGUAAACUCAUGGUAAAAGGUGCAUAAGAGAGUGUUUGAAUGCUAGGGAAACUUGUGGGACCAUUGCUCUACAAUACGAUGAGCAACACUAACUUAUUGGGAGGUGUUGAGGUGUUUACGGCCACACCAAAAGUGUAUGGCCGUAAAAUCUCCAAAUGGUGUCAUUUUUGAUCCUAAAGGAAAGGGUUCUCAAUGGUUCAUGUGUUCCAAAGGAUAGCUAGUCUCUAAAAGUGUUUAGGGCUCAAUACUUGACCAAGACUAAGGUUUACGGCCAAGGGAGAUUGCUCCUGGCCGUAAACUCUCGUUGAUCUUGGAGAUUGGUUGAUUUCAAGGAUGUAAAUCAUGGACUUCUACUAGAUAAUAAGUGUAUGGAUGGAAUACUCACUUUUUGAGGGCCUUUGAGUAGUUUACGACCACCAAGAACGAGGGUGUGUUCUUGGUGGAAGAUGAAGAUAUAGCCGAAAGAUGUUUUCAUGGAUGGAAUCAAAGGGUGAUUCACGAGUAAGAAGGGUAAUAAACAAAUAGAGGGAAGAAUCACUUACAUUUGGAAGAUCGGGAAUGAAAAUCUCGAUGAUACUUGAGAAAAAGUCAAGUGUUCUUGAGUUGGAAAUGUAAGAAUGAAUGGAAAAUGAAGGUAAUGAGGCUUUAAGGGGGAUUUUACGGCCAACCUUGAUUUUACGGCCGUAAACUCAAGUGUCUUGGCCGUGAACUCCUCUUUGGUGGUUUUAAGGCUCGAAUGUUGCACAAUGUCUCUAGCAGGUACUUCCUACCACUCGUUUCUUAAGUGUACCAGGAUUAAAACCCAUUAAGAUGACCCUUAACAAGGUUAGAAGAUAAUAAAUUUUUGGGUUGUCACAUCAUCCCCCCGUUAGAUGGAAUUUUGUCCCAAAAUUAGCUUUCUUCGUAGCACUACAAGGGUUGUGCUCCUCUUAUUGGCAGAAUACUCACUCGUAGACCUAACAACUCUGCCCAAUUUUCCAUCAUAGGAUUUAUACUUGGUUCAUCUAUCAAUACCUCAUGUAUACAAGUCAUAUAUAGUUAGGACUAGUAAGACAUCAGAUGUGAGAUUCUGCCCUAGGUCCACAACCAAACAAGGAACAGGAGGUAGGGCGGUAGCACACAUACUAAAUCUGUGUAAUCAUAAUCAUAUACCAUCGUCGUUAUUACACUGAAUAGUGAUAGGUGGGUUGUAUUUGUCCUUAUCCUCUGUGCUCGAACUUGAUCUGUUGGACGAGUGGUAUUUCGUGGUAGUCUGCUGAAUAUACGGCGACAAGGUUUCGGAGGGCAAAGUACUAUUCGCAUGAGUACUUCGGGGUUUAGAAUACGAAAGAAAAAACUGAGGUUUAGGUCGGACUGUCGAUACGAAUGACAAAGUUUUUGUGAAUUUGAAUGUCAAAGCGAUAGAAAUAUAUGAACUUAGUAUAAUGAGGACUGUGCCAACUCAUGAUGAAUGAUAGAAACAGACUCUUUACUGAACAAAAGUUUGGCUGAUUUGAACGAAACGUCUGUUAUACGAUGAUGUACUCCUAGUGUGUUCGACAAUGUUCUCUUUGUAACUGUUCUAGUGCUUUCUGUUUUCCACUUAAUGUUAACACUUCUACAUAUCAUGCCGCGAUGAGCGAGUACAUACAAUGAAAGUGCUUUGAUAACUAGUGUCGAUACAUUAUAGUACGAUCCUCCUUGGUACCACUAUGAUCGCUUGUCAUAUACAAGUUAUGAAAAAUUAUGAUGGAUAAGACCGUUGACUGAGUAAAUCUGCCCCAAAUCCAUAACAAAACAAGGAACAUGAAUUAAGUCGGAAUCACUCACUCUAAGUCUGCAAAAUCUUAGCUAUGCACAACUCUGAUGUAGAUACUAAGCCAUCAUAGCUUUUCUGAACGGAUCUUUUAGUUUUCUUGAGUAUUGUGACUUAUUCCGAUAAGUGAGUUAUUAUAAUUACUUUUAAGUGUUUUCCCCCAUGUUUUAAUCUUAUAUAAAUAUAAAUUAAUUUUUAAAGUAAUUACUAUUUCGAAAACGUACCAACUUCAGUAGCGGGGUUCCUUGUUGCUCACUUAUGUCUUAUCGUUAGAUUCCUCCAUUUCCUACGUUACGUCCCUCUGUUAGGCAGUCUCUCUUGCCAUGCCCCGUUUCACCAUAAGCAUGGUAUACCUAUACUAUCCUAACAUUGGUGGUUGAAGUGAUGUGCCGAGUCGGAGCUUCACAGAAACGGACUCCUUCGUCUUUCCUCUUUGUUGGACAAUCCCUCUUAAAGUGUCUAGAUUUUCUGUACUUGUAACAAGCCUCGUUUUCUUGGGGAGUUGGUCGUGCCAGCUUCAGGCAGAAAUUGGAAAGGUGCCCUUUCACGUUGCAAUUGGUACACUUCAUCACUCGGCAAGCUCCGUGGUGGUGGUAACUGCAUUUUUCGCAUCUUGGGAGACUCCCAACAUAUUGUUUAACAGAGGUUGUAGUGGCAGAUGAAGUGCCAGAUGUUAUGACUGUUGUUGUGACUACAACGGUAGUCACAGGCUGUCGCCCCUGGGUAAAACCUUUAGUCGACUUAUUCUUUUGUUUGUCCCAAUAUUUUCGCUUCUUGUUCGUAGGCUCAUUGUCUGGGGUGUCCUUGACAGCAGCCACUCGUGGGUUCCCUUGAUUACUAUUGUGAUUAGAGAACUGGCACUACUUCCGCUUACGCUAGCGUUAUUUUUAUUGAACUGUGCCAAAACGGCUGUCACAGCAGCUGUGACCGCAGCCUGAAAAGUAGCAGAGUCUAUUUGCAGUAUUGGUGCUUCACCUGGUGGUCGGUUCCCUCGUUGUGAAGUUAUGAAUCUGUCGCAUGGCAAAGGAUGAUCUCAUGAGUCUAAAGCAGUGGAUUUAAGCCAAAAGCUGAAAGACAAUGUCAUCCAAGUUCUGAGUGUAUCGGGUUCUGGCUUCCACAGGUUUCUGGAAACAAUUCAUAAAAGAGUCUAUACUAAAUAAACUUUAUGAAUUUGGAAUGUUUAUCCUCGAAUGAAUUUUUGUUACCUGAAGAACUAUUACCAGUUGCAUGUAAAGAAAAUAAUCCCAACACAUAGGGUGAGCAGUGUUUCCACUAACUCAUUAAGUUAACCAAGAUUAUUAUAUGUUAGUGUGACGUAUUAAGGCGUUUUGGUUACUUUGGUUGAUCCUUCUUUGCAAGCUUCUCAUGAACUUGCUCUUGUUCUUCCUUGACUCAUCUGUAGACUGCUUUGAGGAAGUGGUUACAUCUAUCUGGGUUUGUCGUGCGAGAAUGGAAGUGACUAGAGAAUCUACGAGAUUUAAGUGAAACGUUAUGGGGUGAUCCUUACAGAGUCCUCCUAUAAUUGUACAAUGUAUACAAGUUGUAUAUAAUUUAAUAUUAAAUAGACCUUCGAAUAAAUGAUCCUACUCCAAAACCACAACCAAACAAGGAACAGGCAAUGAAGUGUAGAUUACAAAUUCAAAUCUAUAAAAUCUCAAUUAUAUAUAACCUUAGGAGUAUACAUUGCAAGAUUAUAGACCUAUCCGUAACGGUCUUUUAAGUUAUCACAUAAUUAUUUAUAUAGUGCCUAAAAUACUCCUACAAUACUUUAAUGUAAGGUUGGUAUGUUUUAAACUUGUUAUCGCGUUAUAGUAUCAUAGAAUACUCCUAUAGUAUUCUAAAUCUAUGUGCUUGAUCUAGAAUUCUCUUGAUUGGUGUUAGGUAUGUUUUAAGACCGUUGCAACACCACAUCGCUCCCAAACACAUGUCUGUCACAUCUCGAAUGAAUAUAGAUGAUCAGACAAUAUUGAUCCUAGCUACGAUUACAUAACUGUCAAGGUUUGACCACAGUGUUCAGCCUUUAACUUCUUCUGUUCUAUUCUUCUUGGGAUACUUGUUCUAGUAUGUAUACAUGUAUAAGCAAGUAGAUAUAUUUUUAUCACUUAUUGUUAUAUUCUUAAAAUAUAUUAUUAUCCUAAGCACUAAAGCCCCAUUGUAUUUAUAGUUGUAUGUCUUUUAACGGUUGAUAUACUUAGUUCACUAUAAACAAUGCUCUGAUACCAAUCUAUGACACCCCAAAACUGGAACGACGGAAACGAUUUGGGGGUAGAGGACGUCAUGUUUAGUAACACAAGACAUGCAUCAUAGUAAUCAAAGUAAUAAACAACCAUUUCAUUAAAAAGAAAGUGUUUCCAAAGUAUGUGUUCACAAAACAUAGAAUAUAUAUGCAAAUAGCAAAAUAAGACAUGAAGCUAUACUGCUCCAUCUUCUGAAUUCCCAGCGCGAGUACCUGUCCACUAGAUUCCUGAGUUUGAAAGACUUGAUCAACAUUGAAGCUGGUGAUUUCAUAAGAUUUUAGUGAUGUAAGUAAGUUGUAAGAAAGAUGAAGUAAGUUGUAAGUUCUGUUUAGAAAAGUUCGCAUGUUCAUCCAGAAAAUCCUAUAUUUCCUGCUUUGAUGAAAGAUAAGUGAAAAUGACUCUACAAUCCUUUUAUGAGUACUAAGUGGAUACGAGUUAUAUAAAAACCCAGAGUAAACAAACAAUCGGUUGUGUGUAUCUGCCCCAAGCCCACAACCAAACAAGGACCAGGAAAUGAGACGGAAAGCACACAUCCCAUUGUUUGUUAGAUCAUUGUUGUAUAUAUAACCCUGGCGUAUUCACUUGGUACUCAUAGAGUUAACUAUAGUAGUUCGUUUAUAUUUGAUGAAAAGAUUCUUUAAGAAAACCCUUAUUUCUUAUAAAAAAAUAGUAACCACAGUGGUUCCUUCUAUAAUCACUUAGUUUAUACUAGCUAUAUAUAAUCUAGUAUCGAACAAAUAGUUAAUUGUGUGGAUCUGCCCUAAGCCCACAACCAAACAAGGAACACGAAAUGAAGCGGAAAGCACACAUCCAACUACCUAUUGGGUAUUAAGUAUAUAUAACCACGAUGUAUAAACUAAGGUAUUACAGAAUUAACCACCUAAGGUCCUUUAAGUUAUUCUAGUUUAAUAAAAUGGAUUAAACCCUUUACUGGUAAGUUUCUAGUGUUGUAUAUCAAAAGUUCUAUUUGAAAAGUUUGUUUUGUACUAGAAAACUCUUCAUUGAAUUUGUAAAAGCCCGAAAUUCAGGUUCGACCAUUUAGCCCUUCAUCUUUUCAUAAAAUGUCAUGUUGGCUCUUUUGUGUUGGUCGAGUACGUUGGGCGUACAAAGAGUACGUUGCACGUACUCGCGCGAUUAAUUUGAACGCGUUGUCACCCGCGUACGCUGGGCGUACCAAAGGUUACGCCGGGCGUAACCGGUCCAGACCCAAAACCAUAAUAUGGCUUGAUGGCUAUAAAAGGAAUGAGAUGGCCUUGUCCCUCAGCCACCAUCCUUCAGAAAGAAACCCUAAGGGAGCUUUUCCUUCGUUUUUAUCUGGAGUGUGAGUGUUCUAAGCCUCAAGGUGUCAUUUCAAGGUAGCAAAAGAGAAGAGGAGUCCAUUGUGGAGGCUAGAAGUUGGUGGACAAGUGUAAAUCCGAGGAUAACAAAGGUUGGAGCUUCUUCCUGAGGUAAAAAGUUCGGAUCUUGCCAUGUAGUUCUUAUGGUGUGCUUGUUGGAACAAUUUCUAGGGUUUUGGUCCCAAAGAUGGAGACUUUAUGAGCAAGUAGUCUCCAUUGGCCUAGAUCUAUCAUAUUCCAGGACUAUUUGAGUUGUAUGUUCAUAAAAAUGUAAUCUUGGACGUAAAUGUUGAGCCAUGCAUGAGAUCAAGAUCUUUGGAGGAGAAAAGAAAGUUGUUAGAGGGUGUAGCAGCCUUAAUAGCCAUACCAAGGCUUAAAGGUUCUGACUUUAUCCGAUAAGAGGCUUAAGGAGAGCUAGAUCUGGAAGUUGAAGGAGUGUCUUAACCAUUUAAGACCAAAACUCAUGGUAUGGCUGAAACUGGGACUUACGUUGGGCGUAACUCUCAGUACGCGCAGCGUAAGGGGUUGAGACCCCCGAUUGUAGCUCAUCGACGUACGCCCUACGUAGAGAAGCUGGUACGCCCUGCAUACUGUUGUCUGUUGACUUUUGUUGACUUUUAGGGUGUUGUUCAACAUGUGGACUUUGAGUCAAGGAGGGGUGAAAUGGUCUUUUACCCCUCUGUGGGAUAAUGAAAAGGGUGUAGCCUAGCCUUGGAAGCCUAUAUUAAUUAGAAUGAUAUUUCAUUGUGAUUAGGCGGGGUUGGGUCGUCAUUUUGAGAUUUGGAGAUAUCGAGCACGUGAGAUUCUAGACUUCCUACGAGGUGAGUCUUCUGACUAUACUGUACCCGAAAGGGUAUUUAUGUGUGACCGGAAGGUCGGAUAUGUUAUGAGUUGUAUGCAUUGUAUAUGAUUACGCUAACCGUUUAUAUGUGCUAUGUAUGCCAUGCUUGAUAUGGGCCGGAAGGCAUUAUGUUAUGGGCUGGAAGGCAUUUUAUGUUAUGGGUCGGAAGGCAUUGUGAUGUGGACCGGAAGGUCGAUGCGGGUAGGACCGGAAGGUUUACCGGGUCCGGACGGAAGUCCCCUGAGACACAUGGACCGGAAGGUCAUGGCCUGGAAAGGUGUAUGCGUGUAAGUAGUAUUUUGGGGAAUUCACAAAGCAUUUAUGCUUACAGUUGUUGUGUUAUGUGUUUCAGGUACUAGCGAGGACCGUGGGAAGGCGUCGGCGUGAUCUGUACACACUGAUGGAAGCUUUAUGUUGUGAUCUUGGGAUUUGACAUAUUUAUAUUAUGAUUAUGUGACAUUGGAUUUUAUGGUCUGUUUGGAUGAUAACAUGUUUUAGGAAAUAUUUGUUUGAAAUUUUACGUUGUUACAAGUUGUUAUCAGAGCCUUGGUUUGAGGGAUUCGGGUGCGCAUAAAAUUUUAUAAGAUAUUUUGUGAUAACCAAGGAUGAAGCAGUGUGUACGGUCAGCCAGCGCCCGAACGGUAAAAUCCCCAAAAUACCCUUACAAUAUAUGCUAUGAUAUGUUAUGCAUGAUAGAGUAGACUAGGUAUUGAUAUUAGGACUAGAGUGGCCUGAUUUGUGAUGCCUUAGUCUAGGGGAAUCGUGCAGCUAUGAGAUGGUUUGAGAGCAAGUAGGUAGCCUAUGCAUAGCAAGAAUAGAGUACUCGCGUUCCGGGGUCCAAGGAGGAGGACUUGGGGUGAAUGCUGAUGCGGUGUAAUCAGUAGUAUAGGGCCCGCACUACUGAAGACACCGGAUCAGUGGGCAACCCAAGUAAGAAUCUUUUGGGUAUCGGAGGCCGAGUAGGGUUGCGUUAUCGAGUGUGAGUAUGCUCGAUCGAGUCUAUGAUAUUUUUAUGUUGUAUUUCAGAGGCAUUAUGGUUGGGACACGCCACAGGCCUGGGACGAGCGGUGUGAGAGACGAGGAGCUUCGUCAUAUGAUCCACGAUGAGGUGGCUGCAGCAAUCCGGGCCGAGAUUCCGGAGAUGUUUGGGUCUAUCAAGACUACGCUUUUGGAGACUUUUCAUGAGCGGUAUGCCGCGGUGACUGAGGCCGCAGCUGCUGCAGCUACAGCAGCUGUGGUUGCUGCCAGACCUCAGGGAGGUGACUCGUUGUUGUUCCGGGAGUUCAACAACACGAAGCCAUCCAAGUUAGAUGGGACGCAGGACCCGAUCGCUGCGAUGAGAUGGAUUGCUGAUAUUGAGGGAUGCUUCUAUACGUGUUCAUGUCCGAAGCAUCUAAGGGUACGGUUCGCUUUGAACCAGCUCCGCCAAGGAGCGAAGGAUUGGUGGAAGUUCGUGACGGCGAACUUCACUCUUGCAGAGAUUUCAGCAGUGACUUGGGAGAGAUUCACCACCAUGUUUAGAGAUGAGUAUGUUCCCCCGGUGGAGAGGGAAUGGCUGAUUCAGAGUUCUUGANCUGAUUCAGGAGUUCUUGACCCUCAAGCAGGGUAAUGAUUCAGUUGCUGUGGUCACCCGGAAGUUUCAUGAGAGGGCGAUGUUCUACCCUGAGCAGGUGUCUUCUGAGCAGGCACGGAUGAGCCGAUAUUUGGGUAUUCUGAGGAGGGACAUUCGGGAGUUCGUAUCGAACUCGACGUACCGGAAAUUUGCUGAGCUCCAGGAAAAUGCCCAGAAGAGGGAGAUUGAGUUGGAGACUCAGGCCAGGGAGGAGGCCGUGUCCCAGAGGAUGGAUAGGCGGCCGGCUCAGUCUCAACCGGUAGCCAAGCGGACCAAGUCCGCCGAUUCGAGGAUGGGAGGCCAGAAGGGCCGCACUUGCGGAAAGUGCGGCAAGGGUCAUGAGGGGCCUGCUGAUCAGGUGCUUGCUACAAUUGUGGCAAGGAGGGGCAUAUCGCUAGGGAUUGCCCCAAUGGGUUUACGGUUUGCUUCCAUUGCAACCAGACCGACCAUCGGAAGGGCGAGUGUCCUCAGCUUCACCUGGGAUCAGCACAGGGAUCUGCGCCUGCUGCUAGGGUUACCGAGACUCGACAGGUGAAGACCGAGGCUCAGAGGGCUCGUGGGAGAGCUUUUCCGUUGACUGCGAAGUAGGUCCGUGCGACACCCGAUGUUGUGGCUGGUAUGUACUCUUUCGUGUAUUUACUUUUAUGCUGAGAUAUUAUGCUUAUAUUAUGAUAUGCGUAGGUACUUUUCUUGUGAACUCUGUACCUGCCUUGGUAUUAUUUGACUCGGGUGCGAGUCGGUCUUUUAUAUCUCUGGCUUUUAGUCAGCACAUCUGUAUUGAUCGGGAGGUGAUGAGUCGACCCCUGAGGGUUUCCAUAGCUGAUGAGAAAGCGGUAUAUGCCACCGACGUGAUUCGAGGAUGUGUGCUUGAGAUUUUGCUGUCAAUUUCCCUAUAGAUCUAGUUCCUAUCGCGAUGGGAGAUGUCUGUGUCAUCAUGGGCAGGGACUGGUUGAGUAAGUUUGGAGCGGUCAUUGACUGCGAGAAACAGAUGGUGACCAUACGAGACCCUAAUGGGGGAGUGCUUACUGUAUAUGGCGAUGGGACCCGGUGUGGGUCAGCGUUUUGUUCGGCUGCCAGGGCGAGACAGAUUUUGCAACAGGGCUGUAGUGGAUUCAUAGCCUAUGUGAUGGACACACGAGUGGCCGCGGGGAGGCCAAGUUCGGUUGAUGAGGUUCCGGUAGUGUGCGAGUUCCCGGAUGUUUUUCCCGAGGAACUGUCAGGCGUGCCUCUGGAAAGACAAGUGGAGUUCCGUAUUGAUUUGAUUCCGGGAGCAGCACCUAUCGCCAAGGCGCCUUAUCACCUCGCGCCGCCAGAGAUGCAGGAGUUAUCCUGGUAGCUUCAGGAGCUGUUGGGGAAGGGGUUUAUUCGACUGAGUAGCUCACCUUGGGGAGCACCGAUCCUUUUUGUCAAGAAGAAAGAUGGUUCACACCGGAUGUGUAUUGAUUACCGAGAGUUGAACAAGUUGACCGUCAAGAACCGGUAUCCGUUACCUAGGAUCGAUGAUCUGUUUGAUCAGUUGCAGGGGGCAUCUUGGUUCUCCAAGAUAGACUUAAGGUCGGGUUAUCAUCAGAUGAGGCUUCGGGAUGAAGAUAUCUACAAGACUGCAUUCAGAACUCGUUACGGACAUUACGAGUUUGUGGUGAUGCCUUUUGGGUUCACCAAUGCCCCAGCCGCGUUCAUGGAUCUCAUGCACAGGGUGUGCAAGCCGAUGUUGGAUCGGUCGGUGAUCGUAUUCAUUGAUGAUAUUUUGGGAUAUUCGAGGUCUAGAGAGCAGCAUGAGGAGCAUUUGAGGGAGAUCCUUGGAGUUCUGAGAUCGGAGAGGCUGUAUGCUAAAUUCUCCAAGUGUGAUUUCUGGUUACGAGAGGUCCAAUUCCUUGGGCACCUUGUUAACCAGAAAGGGAUAUUGGUCGAUCUGGCCAAGAUUGAGGCAGUGAUGAGAUGGGAGGUGCCGAGAUCACCCACUGAGAUCAGGAGCUUUCUGGGAUUGGCCGGUUAUUAUCGGAGGUGUAUUAGGGAUUUCUCCAAUAUUGUCGUGCCACUUACCAAGAUGACCUAGAAGGGUGUUGCAUUUUCAUGGGGUCCGGAGCAGCAAUCCUCAUUUGAGACACUUCGCCAAAAGUUAUGCGAAGCCCCGGUAUUCGCACUCCCAGAAGGGAUGGAGGAUUUUGUGGUAUAUUGUGAUGCAUCAAUAUCUGGGUUAGGGGCAGUGCUUAUGCAGAGGGGGCACGUUAUAGUGUAUGCAUUGAGGCAACUGAAGCCUCAUGAGUCGAGAUAUCCCACCCACGAUCUGGAGCUGGGGGCUGUGGUGUUUAUCCUCAAGAUCUGGCGGCACUAUCUCUAUGGGUUCGGUGUACCAUAUACACAGACCACAAGAGUCUGGAGUAUUUGAUGGAUCACCCAAACCUAAAUAUGCACCAGAGGAGAUGGUUGGAUGUGGUGAAGGAUUAUGAUUGUGAGAUCCUGUACCACCCGGGCAAGGCUAAUGUCGUAGCCGAUGCUUUGAGCCAUAGAGCGUAGAGCGCCCUGAUCCGAGAUGUUUGUAUGAGGUUGAAGGUGAUGACUCCGGUAUUGGACACCAUCCGAGGGGCCCAGGCCGAGGCUGCGAGACCAGAAAACCGCAAGAGAGAGUGGGUUGUUAGCCAGGUAUCGGAGUUCGUUACCGAUAGUCGGGGACUUAUGACAUUUCAGGGUCAGAUUUGAGUACCGUUUAUGGGCAGGACGCGUUCCAUUUUGAUGGAAGAGGCACAUCCGUUGAAGUUCUCGAUCCAUCCCGGGGCCACUAAGAUGUUUUUAGACCUAAAGAAGGAGUAUUGGUGGCCCUGUAUGAAGAGGGAUGUUGCAUGGUUCGUCGAGAGGUGCCUAACUUGUCGCCAGGUUAAGGCCGAGCACCAGCGUCCGCAUGGUAAGCUGCAGCCGCUGGAGAUUCCCGAGUGGAAGUGGGAACAGAUUACCAUGGAGUUUAUCACCAAAUUGCCAAGGACUACGAGAGGAGUUGAUGCAAUUUGGGUGAUUGUGGAUAGGUUGACGAAGAGCGCUCAUUUUCUUGCUAUCAGUGAGAGCUCUUCUGCUGAGAGGUUGGCAGAGUUGUAUGUGAGGGAGGUGGUAUCGCGACAUGGAGUUCCGAUCUCGAUUGUUUCAGAUCGAGACGUACGAUUUACUUCCAGAUUUUGGAAGAAGUUUCACGAGGAGUUGGGUAAGAGGCUGUAUUUCAGUACCGCAUACCACCCACAGACGGACGGACAGAGUGAGCGGACGAUUCAGACGCUCGAGGAUAUGCUCCGAGCGUGUGUUUUGGAUUUUGGAGGGAGUUGGGACACCUAUUUACCCUUGGCGGAGUUUUCGUACAACAACAGCCAUCAUUCGAGCAUCGGUAUGCCACCCUUUGAGCUGUUGUAUGGGAGGAGGUGUCGGACCCCCAUCUACUUGGGUGAGGUGGGGCAGUGGGUAAUGGGUAGUAUGGAGAUUGUGCUUCAGACGACAAAGAAGAUUCAGCAGGUGAGGCAGAGAUUGUUGACCGCUCAGAGUGCCAGAAGAGUUAUGUGGACAUGCGUCGGUCCGAGCUCGAGUUUCAGGUUGGUGACCUUAUACUAUUAAAGGUCUCAUCUUGGAAAGGAGUGAUUCGAUUUAGGAAGAGGGCAAGUUGGGGCCUCGAUAUAUUGGACCUUUUAGGGUAACCGCGAGGGUAGGCAGGGUAGCCUACCGUUUAGAUCUACCUGCGGAGCUGGGUCAGAUUCACGACACCUUUCAUGUGUCGCAGUUGAGGAAGUGUAUUACCGACGAGUCAGCAGUGGUACCAUUAGAGGAUAUUCAGGUGGCUGCGGGCUUGAACUAUGUUCAGAGACCGGUGGAAAUUAUGGAUCGAAAGGUUAAGUUUCUGAGGAACAAGGACGUGCCCUUGGUGCAAGUGCAGUGGCAGCAUCGGAAGGGGUCCGAGCUGACGUGGGAGUCCGAGUCGGAGAUGCGGGAGCAGCAUCCGGAAUUGUUUUCGGUAUAAGACUUCUGGGACGAAGUCUGGUUCUAGUGGGGGAGAAUUGUAACAGCCCAAAAUUCAGGUUCGACCAUUUAGCCCUUCAUCUUUUCAUAAAAUGUCAUCUUGGCCCUUUUGUGUUGGGCGAGUACGCUGGGCGUACAAAGAGUGCGUUGCGCGUACUCGCGCGCUUAAUUUGAACGCGUUGUCACCCGGGUACGCUGGGCGUACCUAAGGUUACGCCGUAUCCAGACCCAGAACCAUAAUAUGGCUUGAUGGCUACAAAAGGAAUGAGAUGGCCUUGUCCCUCAGCCACCAUCCUCUAGAAAGAAACCCUAAGAGAGCUUUUCCUUCGUUUUUAGCUUGAGUGAGAGUGUUCUAAGCCUCAAGGUGUCAUUUCAAGGUAACAAAAGAGAAGAGGAGUCCAUUGUGGAGGCUAGAAGUUGGUGGACAAGUGUAGAUCCGAGGAUAACAAAGGUUGGAGCUUCUUCCUGAGGUAAAAAGUUCGGAUCUUGCCUUGUAGUUCUUAUGGUGUGCUUUUUGGACCAAUUUCUAGGGUUUUGGUCCCAAAGAUGGAGACUUUAUGAGCAAGUAGUCUCCAUUGGCCUAGAUCUAUCAUAUUCCAAGACUAUUUGAGUUGUAUGUUCAUAAAAAUGUAAUCUUGGGCAUAAAUGUUGUGCCAUUCAUGAGAUCUAAAUCUUUGGAGGAGAAAAGAAAGUUGUUAGAGGGUGUAGGAGCCUUAACAGCCAUGCCAAGGCUUAAAGGUUCUGACUUUUUGGGAUAAGAGGCUUAAAGCGAGCCAGAUCUGGAAGUUGAAGGAGUGUCUUAACCGUUUAAGACCAAAACUCAUGGUAUGGCUGAAACUGGGACAUACGUUGGGCGUAACUCUCAGUACGCGCAGCGUAAGGGGUUGAGACCCCCAAUUGUAGCUCAUCGACAUACGCCCCGCGUACUGUUGUCUGUUGACUUUUGUUGACUUUUACGGUUUUGGACAACAUGUGGACUUUGAGUCAAGGAGGGGUGAAAUGGUCUUUUACCCCUCUGUGGGAUAAUGAAAAGGGUGUAGCCUAGCCUUGGAAGCCUAUAUUAAUUAGAAUGAUAUUUCAUUGUGAUUAGGCAGGGUUGGGUCGUCGUUUCGAGAUUUGGAGAUAUCAAGCAUGUGAGAUUCUAGAGUUCCUACGAGGUGAGUCUUCUCACUAUACUGUACCCGGAAGGGUAUUUUUGUGUGACCGGAAAAUCGGAUAUGUUAUGAGUUGUAUGCGUUGUAUAUGAUUAAGUUAACCAUUUGUAUGUGCUAUGUAUGCCAUGCUUGAUAUGGGCCGGAAGGCAUUAUGUUAUGGGCCGGAAGGCAUUUUAUGUUAUGGGCCAGAAGGCAUUGUGAUGUGGUCUGGAAGGUCGAUGCGGGUAGGACCGGAAGGUUUACCGGGUCGGGACAGAAGUCCCCUGAGACACAUGGACCGGAAGGUCAUGGCCUGGAAAGGCGUAUGUGUGUAAGUAGUAUUUUGGGGAAUUCACUAAGCAUUUAUGCUUACAUUUGUUGUGUUAUGUGUUUCAGGUACUAGCGAGGACCAUGGGAAGGCGUCGGCGUGAUCUGUACACACUGAUGGAAGAUUUAUGUUGUGAUCUUGGGAUUUGACAUAUUUAUAUUAUGAUUAUGAUACAUUGGAUUUUAUGGUCUGUUUGGAUGAAAACAUGUUUUACGAAAUGAAAAAUUUGUUUGAAAUUUUACGUUGUUACAGAAUUAGUAUCCUAUGACCUGGCCCAUACCUGGUACCCCUUAUGAUUACUUAGUGUAUACAGAAUAUAUAUAUAUAUNNNNNNNNNNNNNNNNNNNNNNNNNNNNNNNNNNNNNNNNNNNNNNNNNNNNNNNNNNNNNNNNNNNNNNNNNNNNNNNNNNNNNNNNNNNNNNNNNNNNNNNNNNNNNNNNNNNNNNNNNNNNNNNNNNNNNNNNNNNNNNNNNNNNNNNNNNNNNNNNNNNNNNNNNNNNNNNNNNNNNNNNNNNNNNNNNNNNNNNNNNNNNNNNNNNNNNNNNNNNNNNNNNNNNNNNNNNNNNNNNNNNNNNNNNNNNNNNNNNNNNNNNNNNNNNNNNNNNNNNNNNNNNNNNNNNNNNNNNNNNNNNNNNNNNNNNNNNNNNNNNNNNNNNNNNNNNNNNNNNNNNNNNNNNNNNNNNNNNNNNNNNNNNNNNNNNNNNNNNNNNNNNNNNNNNNNNNNNNNNNNNNNNNNNNNNNNNNNNNNNNNNNNNNNNNNNNNNNNNNNNNNNNNNNNNNNNNNNNNNNNNNNNNNNNNNNNNNNNNNNNNNNNNNNNNNNNNNNNNNNNNNNNNNNNNNNNNNNNNNNNNNNNNNNNNNNNNNNNNNNNNNNNNNNNNNNNNNNNNNNNNNNNNNNNNNNNNNNNNNNNNNNNNNNNNNNNNNNNNNNNNNNNNNNNNNNNNNNNNNNNNNNNNNNNNNNNNNNNNNNNNNNNNNNNNNNNNNNNNNNNNNNNNNNNNNNNNNNNNNNNNNNNNNNNGUGGCAGCAUCGGAAGGGGUCCGAGCUGACGUGGGAGUCCGAGUCGGAGAUGCGGGAGCAGCAUCCGGAAUUGUUUUCGGUAUAAGACUUCUGGGACGAAGUCUGGUUCUAGUGGGGGAGAAUUGUAACAGCCCAAAAUUCAGGUUCGACCAUUUAGCCCUUCAUCUUUUCAUAAAAUGUCAUCUUGGCCCUUUUGUGUUGGGCGAGUACGCUGGGCGUACAAAGAGUACGUUGCGCGUACUCGCGCGCUUAAUUUGAACGCGUUGUCACCCGGGUACGCUGGGCGUACCUAAGGUUACGCCGUAUCCAGACCCAGAACCAUAAUAUGUCUUUAUGGCUACAAAAGGAAUGAGAUGGCCUUGUCCCUCAGCCACCAUCCUCUAGAAAGAAACCCUAAGAGAGCUUUUCCUUCGUUUUUAGCUUGAGUGAGAGUGUUCUAAGCCUCAAGGUGUCAUUUCAAGGUAACAAAAGAGAAGAGGAGUCCAUUGUGGAGGCUAGAAGUUGGUGGACAAGUGUAGAUCCGAGGAUAACAAAGGUUGGAGCUUCUUCCUGAGGUAAAAAGUUCGGAUCUUGCCUUGUAGUUCUUAUGGUGUGCUUUUUGGACCAAUUUCUAGGGUUUUGGUCCCAAAGAUGGAGACUUUAUGAGCAAGUAGUCUCCAUUGGCCUAGAUCUAUCAUAUUCCAAGACUAUUUGAGUUGUAUGUUCAUAAAAAUGUAAUCUUGGGCAUAAAUGUUGUGCCAUUCAUGAGAUCUAAAUCUUUGGAGGAGAAAAGAAAGUUGUUAGAGGGUGUAGGAGCCUUAACAGCCAUGCCAAGGCUUAAAGGUUCUGACUUUUUGGGAUAAGAGGCUUAAAGCGAGCCAGAUCUGGAAGUUGAAGGAGUGUCUUAACCGUUUAAGACCAAAACUCAUGGUAUGGCUGAAACUGGGACAUACGUUGGGCGUAACUCUCAGUACGCGCAGCGUAAGGGGUUGAGACCCCCAAUUGUAGCUCAUCGACAUACGCCCCGCGUACUGUUGUCUGUUGACUUUUGUUGACUUUUACGGUUUUGGACAACAUGUGGACUUUGAGUCAAGGAGGGGUGAAAUGGUCUUUUACCCCUCUGUGGGAUAAUGAAAAGGGUGUAGCCUAGCCUUGGAAGCCUAUAUUAAUUAGAAUGAUAUUUCAUUGUGAUUAGGCAGGGUUGGGUCGUCGUUUCGAGAUUUGGAGAUAUCAAGCAUGUGAGAUUCUAGAGUUCCUACGAGGUGAGUCUUCUCACUAUACUGUACCCGGAAGGGUAUUUUUGUGUGACCGGAAAAUCGGAUAUGUUAUGAGUUGUAUGCGUUGUAUAUGAUUAAGUUAACCAUUUGUAUGUGCUAUGUAUGCCAUGCUUGAUAUGGGCCGGAAGGCAUUAUGUUAUGGGCCGGAAGGCAUUUUAUGUUAUGGGCCAGAAGGCAUUGUGAUGUGGUCUGGAAGGUCGAUGCGGGUAGGACCGGAAGGUUUACCGGGUCGGGACAGAAGUCCCCUGAGACACAUGGACCGGAAGGUCAUGGCCUGGAAAGGCGUAUGUGUGUAAGUAGUAUUUUGGGGAAUUCACUAAGCAUUUAUGCUUACAUUUGUUGUGUUAUGUGUUUCAGGUACUAGCGAGGACCAUGGGAAGGCGUCGGCGUGAUCUGUACACACUGAUGGAAGAUUUAUGUUGUGAUCUUGGGAUUUGACAUAUUUAUAUUAUGAUUAUGAUACAUUGGAUUUUAUGGUCUGUUUGGAUGAAAACAUGUUUUACGAAAUGAAAAAUUUGUUUGAAAUUUUACGUUGUUACAUUUUCAUUCCUUUGCACAAGCAAAAUACUCAAUAAUUCAAGGCGACAUGAAAACUAGGGUUUCUAGAGGCCUAGAAGGUGAGAGAGGCUUAGGAUGGAUAACCCUAGCCUCUCAUUCCCUUAAAUACCCAAAAAUUAUGGUUUGGGGUGAUUAAGGCACGCUCACGUCGUGAGAAAGCAAAAUGCAGGUCAACGGUUCAAUGGUCACUCACGACGUGACCCCGAAGAUCUCACGUCGUGAGNGAAUGUCUAGACUCGACUGUUUUGUUUGUCGUUUGUAAAAUGUAACUUUUCCCUAGUUUAUAACUAUCGUAACUCGAAAAUAAUUUGUAUUAACUUUAAAGUGUAACUGUCAGGAUAUGAAAGUAAGUGGAAUAUGUAAGUACAAAGUUGUCUUUUAAAAUGACAUCCUGAUGUACUUAUUUCCUUAAAACAUGUUUGUUUAAUUAAGGUCAUGAUGUGAAGCCUAGUACACAUACUAUACGCUCUCCCUGUCAAAAGAUUUGGGAACCAAACGCAACAUUAGCAAAUAAUUGCUAGGCCGUGUAAAUUCACAUUAAGGUUAUGCAAUCAUGUAUAACCAAUUUAACUAUCACCUUUUGUUUAGAGCAAUGAGUUAGUGAUUCAUUGGUAUAGUUAGAUCCUAUAGUUGUUUUCAUGCUAUAGCAUCUUAGUAUGUUCGUUCUGUUAUAGUAUCUCAGUGUGUUCCUUCUGUUAUAGUAUGUAGGUAUGAACUGAACCCCUAAACUAUAUCCCUUAUAGUUUACUAGUAUUUUACUUGAACUGUUAUUGAAAAGACUCAUUUAUCUACUAAGAUAUGAUGGUACUUUAAAAGCGGAGUUUUGUUAAACUAUAAAAUAACAUAACUUUAAAAAAGUUUUUGAAAUGUUUUGAUCACUUAUAAAAGACAUAAGAAAUCUUUUGAAAGAUGUUGAUAACAAGCAUUUACACAACUAUCAUAUCAUUGUGUUCAACUUGUAUCCCCCCCCCCCCCAAAAAGCAUUUAAAACAGUUAAAAGAUUCAUUAUAGGGGUAUGAACUCACCUUAUGUGGGUCAGUCAAACGAAUAUGCGCGUAAGGAUGAGAAGCUCCACAAAUGAAGUCCCAAAACACAAACGAGUCCUAAAUGACAUAUAGGGCAAGUAUUUGCAUGAAUAUAGUGUUUAUAAGCAACCAACAUGCAAGGAAACACCCUUAGGGACUUGUACUAAGUGUUGAAAUCACAUGUGAUUGAUCAAAGGGAUAUUUAAGGCCACCAAAUGGAGUUUACGACAAUGAAUUUUACGGCCAUAAACUCAUGGUAAAAGGUGCAUAAGAGGGUGUUUGAAUGCUAGGGAAACUUGUGGGACCAUUGCUCUACAAUACGAUGAGCAGCACUAAAUUAUUGGGACGUGUUGAGGUGUUUACGGCCACACCAAAAGUGUAUUGCUGUAAAAUAUACAAAUGGUGUCAUUUUGGGUCCUAAAGGAAAGGGUUCUCAAUGGUUCAUGUUUUCCAAAGGAUACCUAGUGUCUAUAAGAGUUUAAGGCUCAAUACUUGAGCAAAACUAAGGUUUACGGCCAAGGGAGAUUGCUCCUAGCUGUAAACACUCAUUGAUCUUGGAGAUUGGUUGAUUUCAAGGAUGUAAAUCAUGGACUUCUACUAGAUAAUAAGUGUAUGGAAGGAAUACUCACUUUUUGAGGGCCUUUGAGUUGUUUACGACCACCAAGAACAAGGGUGUGUUCUUGGUGUUCUUGGUGAAAGAUGAAGAUCUAGCCAAAAGUUGUUUUCAUGGAUGGAAUCAAAGGGUGAUUCAUGAGUAAGAAGGGUAAUAAACAAAUAGAGGGAUGAAUCACUUACAUUUGGAAGAUCGGGAAUAAAAAUCUCGAUGAUACUGGAGUGAGAAGUCAAGUGUUCUUGAGUUGGAAUGUAAGAAUGAAAGGAAAAUGAAGGGAAUGAGGCUUUAAGGGGGAGUUUACGGCCAGCCUUGAGUUUACGGCCGUAAAGUCAAGUGUCUUGGCCAUGAACUCCUUUUUUGUGGUUUUAAGGCUCGGAUGUUGCACAAUGUCUCUAGCAGGUACUUCCAACAACUCGUUACUUAAGUGUACCAGGAUUAAAACCCAAUAAAAUGACCCUUAACAAGGCUAGAAGAUAAUAAAAUUUUGGGUUGUCACAUCAUCCCCCCGUUAGAUGGAAUUUCGUCCCGAAAUUAGCUUUCUUCGCAGCACUACAAGGGUUGCGCUCCUCUGAUUGGCACAAUACUCACUCGUAGACCUGACACCUCUACCCAAUUGUCCAUCAUACGAUUUAUACUUGGUUCAUCUAUCAAUAACACGUGUAUACAAGUUGUAUAUAGUUAGGAUUAGUAAGACGUCGGAUGUGCAAUUCUGCCCUAGGUCCACAACCAAACAAGGAACAGGAGGUAGGGAGGAAGCACACAUACAAAAUCUAUGUAAUCAUAAUCAUAUACCACCCUCGUUUAUACACUGAAUAGUGAUAGGUGAGUUGUAUUUGUCCUUAUCCUCUGUGCUCGAACUUGGUCUGUUGGACGAGUAGUAUUUUGUGUCAGUUUGCUAAAUAUACGGCGAUAAGGUUUCGGAGGGCAAAGUACUCUUCGCAUGAGUACUUCGUGGUUUAGAAUACGAAAGAAAAAACUGAGGUUUAGGUCGGACCUUCGAUACGAAUGACAAAGGUUUUGCGAAUUUGACGGUCAAAGCGAUAGAAAUAUAUGAACUUAGUAUGGUCAGGAACGUGCCAACUCACGAUGAAUGAUAGAAACCUACUCUUUACUGAACAAAAGUUUGGCCGAUUUGAAAGAAACGUUUGUAUAUGUUCUUGUGCUUUCUAUUUCCCCCUUGAUGUUAACACUUCUACGUAUCAUGCCACGAUGAGCGAGUACAUACAAUGAAAGUGCUUUCAUAACUAGUGUCGAUACUUUAUAGUACGAUCCUCCUUGGUACCACUAUGAUCGCUUGUCAUAUACAAGUUAUGAAUAAUUAUGAUGGAUAAGAACGUCCACUGAGUAAAUCUGCCUCAAAUCCACAACAAAACAAGGAACAUGAAUUAAGUUGGAAUCACUCACUCUAGAUCUAUGUCUGCAAAAUCUUAGCUAUGCACAACUCUGAUGUACUUACUAAGCCAUCAUAGCUUCUUUGAACGGAUCUUUCCGUUCUCUUGAAUAUUUUGACUUAUUCCGAUAACUGAGUUAUUAUAAUUACUUUUAAGUGUUUUCCCCCAAGUUUUAAUCUUAUAUAAAUAUAAAUUAAUUUUUAAAGUAAUUACUAUUUCGAAAACGUACCUACUUCAAUAGCGGAGUUCCUCAUUGCUCCCUUAUGUCUUGCAGUUAGAUUCCUCCAUUUCCUACGUUACCUCCCUCUGUUAGGUUGUCUCUCAUGGCAUGCCCCGUUUCACCACAUGCAUGGCGUACCUGUACUAUCCUGACAUUGGUGGUUGAAGUGAUGUACUGAGUUGGAGCUUCACAGAAACGGGCUCCUUCAUCUUUCCUCUUUGUUGGACAAUCCCUCUUAAAGUGUCUAGAUUUUCUGUACUUGUAACAAGCCUCGUUUUCUUGGGGAGUUGGUCGUGCCAGCUUCAGGCAGAAAUUGGAAAGGUGCCCUUUCACGUUGCAAUUGGUACACUUCAUCACUUGGCAAGCUCCGUGGUGGUGGUAACUGCAUUUUUCGCAUCUUGGGAGACUCCCAACAUAUUGUUUAACAGAGGUUGUAGUGGCAGAUGAAGUUCCAGAUGUUAUGACUGUUGUUGUGACCACAGGGUUUGUAUACCACCCGUUCGUUAAGUUUACCAGGAUUAAAACCCAAUAGAAUGACCCUUAACAAGGCUAGAAGGCAAUAAAUUUUUGGGUUGUCACAUCAUGCGCCCGUUAGAUGGAAUUUCGUCCCGAAGUUUGCUUUCUUCGCAGCACUACAGGGGUUGUGCUCCUCUGAUUGGCAGAAUACUCACUCGUAGACCUGACAACUCUACCAAAUUUUCCAUGAUAGGACUUAUAUUUGGUUCAUCUAUCAUUACCUCGUGUAUACAUGUCGGAUAUAGUUAGGAUUAUUAAGACGUCGGAUGUGUGAUUAUGCCCUAGGUCCACAACCAAACAAGGAACAGGAGGUAUGGCGGAAGCACACAUACUAAAUAUGCAUAUUCAUAAUCAUAUACCACCGUCGUGUAUACACUAAAUAGUGAUUGGUGGGUUGUAUUUGUCCUUAUCCUCUGUGCUCGAAUUUGAUCUGUUGGACGAGUGGUAUUUUGUGGUAGUCUGCUGAAUAUACGGCGAUAAGGUUUCGGAGGGAAAAGUACUCUUCACAUGAGUACUUUGAGGUUUAUAAUAUGAAAGAAAAAACGGAGGUUUAGGUCGGACCGUCGAUACGAAUGACAAAGGUUUCGCGAAUAUUACGGUCCAAGUGACAGAAAUAUAUGAACUUAGUAUGGUGAGGACCGUGCCAACUCAUGACGAAUGAUAGAAACCGACUCUUUACUGAACAAAAGUUUGGCCGAUUUGAAAGAAACAUUUGUUAUACGAUGAUGUACUCCUAGUGUGUUCGACAAUGUUCUCUUUGUAAAUGUUCUAGUGCUUUCUGUUUUCCCCUUGAUGUUAACAUUUCUAUGUAUCGUGCCGCGAUGAGCGAGUACAUACAAUGAAAGUGCGUUGAUAACUAGUGUCGAUACUUUAUAGUACUAUCCUCCUUGGUACCACUACGAUCGCUUGUCAUAUACAAGUUAUGAAUAAUUAUGAUGGAUAAGACCGUCGACUGAGUAAAUCUGCCUCAAAUCCACAACAAAACGAGGAACAUGAAUUAAGUCGGAAUCACUCACUCUAAGUCUGCAAAUGUCUUAGCUAUGCACAACUCUGAUGUACAUACUAAGUCAUCGUAGCUUCAAUGAACGGAUCUUUUAGUUCUAUUAAAUAUUGUGACUUAUUCCGAUUAGCGAGUUAUUAUAAUUACUUUUAAGUGUUUUCCCACAAGUUUUAAUCUUAUAUAAAUAUAAAUUAAUUUUUAAAGUAAUUACUAUUUCGAAAACGUACCAACUUCAACAGUGGGGUUCCUCGUUGCUCCCUUAUGGCUUGUCGUUAGAUUCCUCCAUUUCCUAUGUUACCUCCCUCUGUUGGACAGAGUCUCUUGGCAUGCCCCAUUUCACCACAUGCAUGGCAUACCUGUACUAUCCUGACAUCGGUGGUUGAAGUGAUGUGUCGAGUCGGAGCUUCAUAGAAACGGGCUCCUUUGUCUUUCCUCUUUGUUGGGCAAUCCCUCUUAAAGUGUCUAGAUUUUAUGCACUUGUAACAAGCCUGGUUUUCUUGGGAAGUUGGUCGUGCUGGCUUCAGGCAGAAACUAGAAAGGUUCCCUUUCCCGAUGCAAUUGGUACACUUCAUUACUCAGCAAGCUCCGUUGUGACGGUAAGNACCGUCGAUACGAAUGACAAAGGUUUCGCGAAUAUUACGGUCCAAGUGACAGAAAUAUAUGAACUUAGUAUGGUGAGGACCGUGCCAACUCAUGACGAAUGAUAGAAACCGACUCUUUACUGAACAAAAGUUUGGCCGAUUUGAAAGAAACAUUUGUUAUACGAUGAUGUACUCCUAGUGUGUUCGACAAUGUUCUCUUUGUAAAUGUUCUAGUGCUUUCUGUUUUCCCCUUGAUGUUAACAUUUCUAUGUAUCGUGCCGCGAUGAGCGAGUACAUACAAUGAAAGUGCGUUGAUAACUAGUGUCGAUACUUUAUAGUACUAUCCUCCUUGGUACCACUACGAUCGCUUGUCAUAUACAAGUUAUGAAUAAUUAUGAUGGAUAAGACCGUCGACUGAGUAAAUCUGCCUCAAAUCCACAACAAAACGAGGAACAUGAAUUAAGUCGGAAUCACUCACUCUAAGUCUGCAAAUGUCUUAGCUAUGCACAACUCUGAUGUACAUACUAAGUCAUCGUAGCUUCAAUGAACGGAUCUUUUAGUUCUAUUAAAUAUUGUGACUUAUUCCGAUUAGCGAGUUAUUAUAAUUACUUUUAAGUGUUUUCCCACAAGUUUUAAUCUUAUAUAAAUAUAAAUUAAUUUUUAAAGUAAUUACUAUUUCGAAAACGUACCAACUUCAACAGUGGGGUUCCUCGUUGCUCCCUUAUGGCUUGUCGUUAGAUUCCUCCAUUUCCUAUGUUACCUCCCUCUGUUGGACAGAGUCUCUUGGCAUGCCCCAUUUCACCACAUGCAUGGCAUACCUGUACUAUCCUGACAUCGGUGGUUGAAGUGAUGUGUCGAGUCGGAGCUUCAUAGAAACGGGCUCCUUUGUCUUUCCUCUUUGUUGGGCAAUCCCUCUUAAAGUGUCUAGAUUUUAUGCACUUGUAACAAGCCUGGUUUUCUUGGGAAGUUGGUCGUGCUGGCUUCAGGCAGAAACUAGAAAGGUUCCCUUUCCCGAUGCAAUUGGUACACUUCAUUACUCAGCAAGCUCCGUUGUGACGGUAAGUAGGGAUGAGAAUUUGGCCCGAAAAUCCGAACCGAACCGAAAACCAGACCGAAUUGAACCGAAUUAGACUCGAAUAGGCAAUUCAAUUCGGUUUUCGGGUAUCUAUAUAAGGCUUAUUCGGUUUUCGGGUUAUUCGGUCCGGGUUACCCGAAUAAGGGCUUAUUCGAUCCAAAACGACCGAACCGAAUAUGAAAAGUCAUAUUUUUUUUUCCACUUGCACGAUUUCUUAUUCGGUCUUGUGUUAUAUCGAUCUUUACCCAAAAUACCCGCGUAAUGUUUAAUGUUUAACUUAUAUACUUAUAGAUAGAUCUUUGGAUGUUUUAGAUGUUUAAUGUUUAGUGUUUAAUAUGUUGCUUAAUAACUAUAUCUUAAGAAUGUGGUGGUUGGAUUUUACAUUUUAUAUAUCAAGAAUAGUUAAUCCAUGUUAUUUGUGUUUAUCAUAAGCUACAAAAGUCAUACAAAAUACAAUAUUUAUAAUCACAUUGUAAAUGUUAUUUGGGUUAUUCGGGCUAUUCGGCUCCUUAAUCAUCUUGUAGAUGUUAUUUGGGUUAUUCGGUCAAGAACCGAACCGAAUCGAAUAAUACCCGAACCGAACCCGUAUUGCUUAUUUUGUUUGGUUUCGGUUCAUAUAAUUACCCUUAUUCGGUUUUCGGUUUAUUCGGGUUCGGGUCGGGUCGGUUCGGUUCCAACCCGAAUAACAUCCCUAGUGGUAAGUGCAUUUGUCGCAUCUUGGGAGACUCCCAACAUAUUAUUUAAUAGAGGUUGUAGUGGCAGAUGAAGUGCCAGAUGUUAUGACUGUUGUUGUGACUACAGGGGCAGUCACGGGUUAUCGCCCCUAGGUAAAACCUUGAGUCGACUUAUUCUUUUGUUUGUCCCAAUAUUUUCUCUUCUUGUUCUUAGGCUCAUGGUCUGGGGUGUCCUUGACAGCAGCCACUCGCGGGUUCCCUUGAUUAAUAUUGUGAUUAGAUAACUGGCAAUGCUUCCACUUCCGCUAGCGUUAUUUGUAUUGAAUUGUGCCAAAACGGUUGCCAUAGCAGUUGUGACCGCAACCUGAAAAGUAGCAGAGUCUAUUUGCAGAAUUGAUGCUUCGCCUGGUGGUCGGUUCCCUCUUUGUGAAGACAUGAAUCUGUCGCUUAGUGAAGAAUGAUCUCAUGAGUCUAAACCAGUAGAUUUAAGCCAAAAGCUGAAAGACAAGGUUAUCCUAGUUCUGAGUGUAUCGGGUCCAGGCUUUCACAGGUUUCCUGAAACAAUUCAUAAAAGAGUCUAUACUAAAUAAACUUUAUGAAUUUGGAAUGUUUAUCCUCGAAUGAAUAUCUGUUACCUGAAGAAUUGUUACCAGUUGCAUGUAAAGAAAAUAAUCCUAACACAUAGGGUGAGCAGUGUUUCCACUAACUCAAUAAAUUAACCAUGAUUAUUAUAUGUUAGUGUGACGUAUUAAGGCGUUUUGGUUACUUCGGUUGAUCCUUCUUUGAAAGCUUCUCAUGAACUUCCUCUUGUUCCUCCUUGACUCAUCUGUUGGCUACUAUGAGGAAGUGGUUGCAUCUAUCUGGUUUUGUCGUGCGAGAAUGGAAGUGACUAGAGAAUCUAUGAGAUUUAAGUGAAAUGUUAUGGGGUGAUCCUUACAAAGUCCUCCUAUAAUUGUACAACGUAUACAAGUUGUAUAUAAUUCAAGAUUAAAUAGACCUUCGAAUAAAAGAUCCUACUCUAAAACCACAACCAAAGAAGGAACAGGCAGUGAAGCGUAGAUCACAAAUUCAAAUCUAUAAAAUCUCAAUUAUAUAUAACCUUAGGAGUAUACAUUGCUAGAUUAUAGACCUAUCCGUAAGGGUCUUUCUAGUUAUCACAUAAUUUAUUUAUAUAGUGCCUAAAACACUCCUACAAUAUUUUAAUGUAACGUACUUGGUAUCUUUUAAACUUGUUAUCGCGUUAUAGUAUCAUAGAAUACUCCUAUGGUAUUCUAACUCUAUAUACUUGAUCUAGAAUUCUCUUGACUGGUGUUAGGUAAGUUUUAAGACCGUUGCAACACCACAUCACUCCCAAACACAUGUCUGUCACAUCUCGAAUGAAUAUAGUUGACCAUACUAUAUUGAUCCUAGCUAUGAUUACAAAACUGUCAAGGUUUGACCACAGUGUUCAACCAUUAACUUCUUUUGUUUUGUUCUUCUUGGGAUACUUGUUCUAGUACGUAUACAUGUAUAAGCAAGUAGGUAUAUUUUUAUAACUUAUUGUUAUAUUCUUAAAAUAUAUUAUUAUCCAGAGCACUGUAUUUAUAGUUGUAUAUCUUUUAUCGGUUGAUACACUUAGUUCACUAUAAACAAUGCUCUAAUACCAAUCUGUCACACCCCAAAACCAGAACGGCGGAAACAAUCUGGGGUGGAGAACGUCAUGUUUAGUAUCACAUCAAAUGCAUCAUAGUAAUCAAAGUAAUAAACAACCAUUUCAUUAGAAAGAAAGUGUUUACAAAGUAUGUGUUCAGAAAACAUAGAAUACAUAUGUAAAUAACAAAAUAAGACAUGAAGCUAUACUGCUCCAUCUUUUGAAUUUCCAGCGCAAGUACCUGUCUAAUAGAUUCCAGAGAUUACAAGUUAUUUUGAAAGAGUUGAUCAGCAUUUAAGCUGGUGAGUUCAUAAGAUUUUUGUGAUGUAAGUAAGUUGUAAGAAAGAUGUAGUAAGUUGUAAGUUCUGUUUUGACAAGUUCGCCUAUUCCUCUAGAAAAUCCUAUAUUUCAUGCUUUGAUGAAGGAUAAAUAAAAAUGACUCGAAAAUCCUUUUAUGAGUACUAAGUGGAUAUGAGUUAUAUAAAAACCCAAAGUAAACAAACAAUUAUGUGUAUCUGCCCCAAGCCCACAACCAAACAAGGACCAGGAAAUGAGACGGAAAGCACACAUCCCAUUUUUUGUUAGAUCAUUGUUUUAUAUAUAACCAUGGUGUAUUUACUUGGUACUCAUAGAGUUAACUAUAAUAGUUCAUUGAUAUUUGAUGAAAAGAUUCUCUAAGAAAGCCCUUGUUUCUUAUAAAAAAAAAUAAUAACCAUAUUGGUUCCUUCUAUAAUCAUUUAGUUUAUACUAGCUAUAUAUAAUCUAAUAUCGAACAUAUAGUUAAUUGUGUGGAUCUGCCCUAAGCCCACAACCAAACAAGGAACAGGAAAGGAAGCGGAAAGCACACAUCCAACUACAUAUUGGGUAUUAAUUAUAUAUAACCCUGAUGUAUAAAGUAAGGUAUUAUAGAAUUAACCACCUAAGGUCCUUUAAGUUAUUCUGGUUUAAUAAAAUGGAUUAAACCCAUUGCUGGUAAGUUUCUAGUGUUGUAUAUCAAAAUUUCUAUUUGAAAAGUAUGUUUCGGAGUAGAAAACUCUGCAUUGAAUUAGUAUCCUAUGACCUGGCCCAUACCUGGUACCCCUUAUGUUUACUUAGUGUAUACAGAAUAUAUAUAUAUAGCUAAGAUCGAAUAGAUAGUAGACUGGGUGAAUCUGCUCUAAGCCCACAACCAAACAAGGAACAGGAAAUGAAGCGGAAAGCACACAUCCCACUACCUGUCGGAUCCAAUUAAUAUAUAUAUCUCUGAAUGCAUACACUAAGGAAUCAUAUAGUUAGCAUUAUAGCCCCCCCCCCCUUUCUACUGAAUGUACUAGACUCAACUGUUCUUUUUUUCGUUUGUAAAAUGUAAGUUUUCCCUAGUUUAUAACUAUCUUAACUCGAAAAUAGUUUGUAUUAACUUUAAAGUAUAACUGUCACGAUAUGAAAGUAAUGGGGAAAUGUAAGUACAAAAUUGUCUUUUAAAAUGACAUCUUGACGUACAGAUUUCCUUAAAACAUGUUUGUUUAAUUAAGGUCAUAAUGUGAAACCUAGUACACAUACUCUACGCUCUCCCUGUCAAAAGAUUUGGGAACCAAACGAGGCUUUAGCAAAUAAUUGCUAGGCCGUGUAAAUUCACAUUAAGGUUAUGCGAUCAUGUAUAACAAAUUUAACUAUCAACUUUUAUUUAGAACAAUGAUUUAGUGAUUCAUUGGUAUAGUUAGAUCUUGUAGUUGUUUUCAUGCUAUAGCAUCUUAGUAUGUUCGUUCUGUUAUAGUAUCUCAAUAUGUUCCUUCUGUUAUAGUAUCUAGGUAUGAACUGAACCCGGAAACUAUACCCCUUAUAGUUUACUAGUAUUUUACUUGAAUUCUUAUUAAAAAGACUCAUUUAUCUACUAAUUUAUGCUAGUACUUUAAAAGCGGAGUUUCGUUAAACUAUAAAGUAACAUAACUUUAAAAGAGUUUUUAAAAUGUUUUGAUCACUUAUAAAAGACAUAAGCAAUCUUUUGAAAGAUGUUGAUAACAAACAUUUACACAACUAUCAUUGUGUUCAACUUGUAUCCCCCCCCCCCUUUAAAAGCAUUUAAAACAGUUAAAAGAUUCAUUAUACGGGUAUGAGCUCACCUUAUGUGGGUGAGUCAAACGAAUAUGCGCGUAAGGAUGAGAAGUUCCACAAAUGAAGUCCCGAAACACAAACGAGUCCUAAAUGACAUAUAGGGCAAGUAUUUGCAUGAAUAUAGUGUUUAUAAGCAACCAACAUGCAAGGAAACACCCUUAGGGACUUAUACUAACUGUUGAAAUCACAUGCAAUUGAUCAAAG
RNAcentral lists this long non-coding RNA (31296 nucleotides) under Lactuca sativa (garden lettuce). RNAcentral describes it as "long non-coding RNA (LSAT_LNC001070)". The record is from RNAcentral. Lineage: Eukaryota; Viridiplantae; Streptophyta; Magnoliopsida; Asterales; Asteraceae.